UUGGGAAAGAGCUAGAGGUCACUUUAUCCAAAGAGCUUUUCUGCCGCCUGAUUCGUAACACAAUGACCAAUAUGAUCGCCAUAGCCAGAGCAUCUGAGGAGUUCCGCUAUCCAUCAAAACACGAAGUCAUCUCCAUGGCUAAGCGCUUAGUUGAGUACUACCGAUGAUUAAGGACAAGUCAUCUGACAAUGUGUGGGAGAAUGUGUCAAGGAAGCUCAUGAAGAGGCUCUCUAACGUGAAAAGUCCUGUGAAAUCCAAGGGUCCACCUGUUAAAGUACAACGUCGAAAUGAAGAUGCUGAUGACAGUAGUGAUUGGGACUCCAGUGCAUCAACUGUCAUCUUGGAAAGAUCACCAGCCAGUACAAGCACCCCAAAACGACUGAGGGACAACAAUGAUGAACCAUCCACAGGUUCAGGAGACUUAUUGGACAGUGAAAAAAGCCAGGCAAGACACUAUCGUACCCUCCAGGAUAUGUACAAGUCUAAGAAGCCGAACAAAGCUGCGGUUUCUCAUCUUCUUGAUUUGGAAUUCCAGUCCCGUAG
Molecule: long non-coding RNA, 543 nt
Organism: Clupea harengus (Atlantic herring)
Lineage: Eukaryota; Metazoa; Chordata; Actinopteri; Clupeiformes; Clupeidae
Source: Ensembl